Molecule: transfer RNA, 75 nt
Filed under: Xanthobacter autotrophicus
Lineage: Bacteria; Pseudomonadati; Pseudomonadota; Alphaproteobacteria; Hyphomicrobiales; Xanthobacteraceae
Also listed under: 10 other names
Description: tRNA-Val
Rfam family: tRNA
About the family: Transfer RNA (tRNA) molecules are approximately 80 nucleotides in length. Their secondary structure includes four short double-helical elements and three loops (D, anti-codon, and T loops). Further hydrogen bonds mediate the characteristic L-shaped molecular structure. tRNAs have two regions of fundamental functional importance: the anti-codon, which is responsible for specific mRNA codon recognition, and the 3' end, to which the tRNAs corresponding amino acid is attached (by aminoacyl-tRNA synthetases). tRNAs cope with the degeneracy of the genetic code in two manners: having more than one tRNA (with a specific anti-codon) for a particular amino acid; and 'wobble' base-pairing, i.e. permitting non-standard base-pairing at the 3rd anti-codon position.
Source: RNAcentral
GGGCGAUUAGCUCAGCGGGAGAGCACUCCCUUCACACGGGAGGGGUCACAGGUUCAAUCCCUGUAUCGCCCACCA